RNAcentral lists this ribosomal RNA (763 nucleotides) under Staphylococcus equorum subsp. linens. RNAcentral's name for it is "bacterial SSU rRNA". It matches the Rfam family "Bacterial small subunit ribosomal RNA", at positions 65 to 814 of the family's 1533-position model. Lineage: Bacteria; Bacillati; Bacillota; Bacilli; Caryophanales; Staphylococcaceae. The record is from RNAcentral.
AACGGAUAAGGAGCUUGCUCCUUUGAAGUUAGCGGCGGACGGGUGAGUAACACGUGGGUAACCUACCUAUAAGACUGGAAUAACUUCGGGAAACCGGAGCUAAUGCCGGAUAACAUUUGGAACCGCAUGGUUCUAAAGUAAAAGAUGGUUUUGCUAUCACUUAUAGAUGGACCCGCGCCGUAUUAGCUAGUUGGUAAGGUAACGGCUUACCAAGGCAACGAUACGUAGCCGACCUGAGAGGGUGAUCGGCCACACUGGAACUGAGACACGGUCCAGACUCCUACGGGAGGCAGCAGUAGGGAAUCUUCCGCAAUGGACGAAAGUCUGACGGAGCAACGCCGCGUGAGUGAUGAAGGUUUUCGGAUCGUAAAACUCUGUUAUUAGGGAAGAACAAAUGUGUAAGUAACUGUGCACAUCUUGACGGUACCUAAUCAGAAAGCCACGGCUAACUACGUGCCAGCAGCCGCGGUAAUACGUAGGUGGCAAGCGUUAUCCGGAAUUAUUGGGCGUAAAGCGCGCGUAGGCGGUUUCUUAAGUCUGAUGUGAAAGCCCACGGCUCAACCGUGGAGGGUCAUUGGAAACUGGGAAACUUGAGUACAGAAGAGGAAAGUGGAAUUCCAUGUGUAGCGGUGAAAUGCGCAGAGAUAUGGAGGAACACCAGUGGCGAAGGCGACUUUCUGGUCUGUAACUGACGCUGAUGUGCGAAAGCGUGGGGAUCAAACAGGAUUAGAUACCCUGGUAGUCCACGCCGUAAACGAUGAGU